Phalacrocorax carbo (great cormorant) is the source of this 1124-nucleotide non-coding RNA. Lineage: Eukaryota; Metazoa; Chordata; Aves; Suliformes; Phalacrocoracidae. The record is from RefSeq and is a predicted model, not a curated record.
UUCUGCAGCCCUGGCGUCCAUGGGCUCUUUGUCUGGGCCGAGGAGGGGUUUGGUGUCUGGGGGCAGUUAGCAGAGAGCUGCGUGUUUGCAAGCUUCAAUGACUCUUGCUCCAGACAGCUUUUUAACACGCUCCCCGCACAGCUACACUGGGUAGGAACUGCUUUUUCCAUUGCCAGCUUUGGUUUUGUCACAGUGGUUUUAUUGCAGUUUAGAUUUCUUAGGCAUGUAAAAUGCCAUCAAAUUGGUAACAGGAAGAGGAGGGAGGUUUGCAGCCCAACCUCGGGCUUAGCAAUAGCCGAGCGGGCCACUGUGUGCGAGGGAAAGAAUGAGUGUUUUGUGCCCGACCUCGUAUGCUUUAGAGAAAGGCUGGCUCCAUGUCUGUGUGAACCUGCUUUGAGCUGCUGCUUCUGGAAGUCUGGAGGAGCUUUUCCAAAGCCUGUCAUAGCGAACGGACCGCAUCUGGGGAGGAGUGUCAGCAACAGAGCAAGUCCGUCCCGUCUGCUCGCUGGCAGCAUUUUCCCUCUGCCUUUGAAGCAACCUCCGUGAGCCUGCUGCAACUGUCGUGCUGAGCAGCCCCUCUCCUUACCAGUGAUGCUGCUCUUCUCCAUGCUGUGGUGCUGCAUGCUGCUCGAGGUUGGCUACGGCUCAGGUGAGGGACGUCUGAACCCAGACCCGAGCUUUCUACCACCCUGUAGGUCAGAUCAAAAUGGCGAGGUGGUGUGGACUUCCAGAGACGUGGUGGGGAUGUGGGUGUAACUCUGGGCUGCCAGUGUUUAAUUCCUUUCCUUUUCCGCUCCAACCCCUUCAUGUUGCUUGUGUGGGAGGCUGUGCAGCUGCUGAGCCAUGGUGGAUGCUGACAGUCCGUGAGCUCUCCUUCACUGAUGCCUUCAGAGGACAAACAGCAAAUGAUCAAUUCAGAUAGCGGAAAAUGGGCUGGCUCUUCUUUCCGUCUCUAGAGGCUGUAAAAACUCCCAUUACUCUGUUAUGCAGAAGGAUCCAUCUCUGACGUGCCUGAGCCAGCCAGUUAAGUGCAGACCUCACAGGAAAUGACUUUUUUGAUUCUUGACAAGAAGUCAACGAAGAAUAACUUUUCAAGGGAAGUGUUCUUCCUGGCAGGAACAGUG